ACGUCCGUCGGCGAAACGUCCGCACACGAUCCAUAAUAUAGUAGUAUUGCCAAGUCUGAUCUUUACGAAUAAAUCAUCAUAAUAAUCUUUUAAACAUGUCAUAAUGCUGUUUUAUCGGUGUUAUUGUUUUUCGUUAUAAACCAGCCUGGAUCAAGGGCAGAACAAAUUGGUCAAGUCAAAUAUGUUAAUUAAGCCGUGUGCGGACGUUUUGCCGACCGGACGUUUCGCCGCAUUAUGUCAGAGAGAGAGAGAGCUUACUUACUUCUCAAAGAAUGAAAGUCUUUGAGUCUUGAACUACGAUUUGGCUUUCACCUGUAUGAACUCAUUGGUUUGUUUUCCGCAGUACACACGCGUUGGCAGAGUUUUCACGUAUUUACUUUUGGGAAAGCAUAUUACACUAACUUUUCUUCCAAGAUCUCUAAAUUUACUUUUGCGACAAAUUAUACCUACUCCUAUGUAUGUGUUAGGAACAGGGGAUUGUUGCCCCUGUCUUUUGUUUGUCAGAGAUUAUCGCCCUUACCAGUCAUCAUAUGAGUGUUUUUGCUGCGUCGUGGUUUUGCGUCAGAACCCGACGUCAUUUUAUGACGUAGUUUUAGAUUGUGGGGAGAGUGAAAAUUUUUGGAAGAAGCAGACGACGGGAGACGAGAUAUAGAAAGGACAGGCGUGAAAGUGGUCUGACUGUACGUGUGGAUACAGGGACCGGCAAUAAGUAAAUUAGUUGCUUGCCGAGUCAAGGAACUACGAAGGGACUCAUUGGGAGUGUGGAAUCCCAACGUAACCGCCGGAGAGGUGAUGAGAAGCGGACUGAGAAGAUUUUUGGAGAGAGAGAGAGGACGGACGGAAAACUGAGGAGCUGUCUGACUGUACGUGUGGAUACAGAGACGGUUGGGAGAAAGGACGAGUAGCGGACAGAGUGUAUGGAUUGUCCGCUUUGGGGAACUUGUGUAUGUGCAAUUCAAGGAAGAUUUCAUUUUGGGUAUCUAGCUUGAGGUGGAAGUGUGCAGAGAUACGAAGCGACUAAUUGGGGUUAAAGAGCUGUGUUGGACAUGAUCUCUGGGUUGGAAAAUGGUGGAAGGAGCGUAACGAGUGACAACGUCUUCACCAGCCUUGGGUAGGGAGAGAAACUUCUUGCUAAGAAGCUUACCUUGGCGGGGACCAUUCGUAAAACCUGAAAAGAAAUUCCACGUGCUCUUACAGAAACACAGAAACAAAAGGAAAGCAAAGAAAUACUACACUCUGCUUUUCAUUAUUAUGGAUGUUGUGUUUUUAUUGUCCAAGGAAAGGGAAGGUAGUAGAUACUUUUAGCACUUCUCGUGAUGUUGCCAACACCACGGUAGAGAAAAAGCCUCAGCUGAUUUUAGACUACAAGAUAAAGGUGGCUUCGACACAAUGGACUGAUUUCCUGCUACACCACGAAAAAAAAGAAGUAGAUGGUCUAUAGUAAUCUUCUACAACAUGGUGGAUAUCGGCGCCUUGAAUGCCUACAUUGGCUGGACUUUCCUAAACUCCGAUCGAGUUGCAACUUGGCAAAAGUCACAAACGGCGAAUCAUUCUGAUGAAACUGGGUGAGGAACCUUUUGAACUAGGAAAAUCUCAAUAAGGAGAGUGUUCCGGAGAGAACGUGGCACAAUUAUACACGAUCGAGCUCCAUCACGUUCCCAGCUUUCAACAGGAGCAUGGAAUACAACUCCACUGCUAAGUGGUAGCAUUGUUGCUUUUUUUAAACCCAACAUCGAAUGACAAGAAAAUGAGAGACACUUUCGGUUGUUAUGGGAGAUUUUCCUGUAGAGUUCAUACACAGCUUGUAUGUGACUUAUCAGCUCGGCAGUUAUCAGAUUUUUUUCAGCCUGAUUAAUCUUGACUUUUGUGACAACAGAAUGUAGGCCUAAUCAAAACAAUUAGUUCUGACCAAAUCAUGCGAUACAAACUCUUCGUAUCCUUUUGUAACCUUAAGGUAGCAAUUCUGCAACAUUUUGUUAAUUAGUGUCGAGAUUUGUUCUAAUUGUGUUAUUGCCUUUACUUUAUUAUUGAGUAUUUUAUCCUAAGAAACAUUUUUUUUCUUUGUUUGCAAGAAGUAGAAUACAUUUUAUGCCCGUUCAUGUGAUGAGUUAAUUCCGGUCAACAUUGUAUUUCAUUGUUGUCUUCUUCGUCGUAAAGGUAUUAAGAAUAACUAGAAUUUUAUCGUCCUCCUUUUUUCAGAAAAGAAGGGGAUCUAUAUAGAUAUACAAUACCUAAGAAAAAACCCCGAUGAUAAUAGAUUAUUUACAGCAAAGGCUAAUUAACAAUAUUUUCAUCUCUAAUCUCCAUUUUUCGGAGUUUGACACCUGUUGGUACUUAAUACCAAAAUACCAAAUACUUAAAUAUUUCUAAUAUAUUUUGCGCUGGUAUGUUGUUCGCAGUUUUAGUGUUAUCGUUGUCAAAAUAAACAAAUAUCUUGGUUUGGGGCACAUAACCGUUUAUUUGCUAUUGCUUAAAUAGAAAUUUCUCUACAAUCCUGACAUAGCUCUAUCUCAGUUUAGUGUUAUACAUAUUUCCAUCCCUUUAAACCUUUUUCUUUUCAAAACGUUUCACCACUCAAAAAAAAAA
Molecule: long non-coding RNA, 2586 nt
Organism: Pomacea canaliculata
Lineage: Eukaryota; Metazoa; Mollusca; Gastropoda; Architaenioglossa; Ampullariidae
Exons: 3
Source: RefSeq, a predicted model, not a curated record